GAACGGCAGCGCGGGAGCAAUCCUGGCGGCGAGUGGCGAACGGGUGAGUAAUACAUCGGAACGUGCCCAAUCGUGGGGGAUAACGCAGCGAAAGCUGUGCUAAUACCGCAUACGAUCUACGGAUGAAAGCAGGGGAUCGCAAGACCUUGCGCGAAUGGAGCGGCCGAUGGCAGAUUAGGUAGUUGGUGAGGUAAAGGCUCACCAAGCCUUCGAUCUGUAGCUGGUCUGAGAGGACGACCAGCCACACUGGGACUGAGACACGGCCCAGACUCCUACGGGAGGCAGCAGUGGGGAAUUUUGGACAAUGGGCGAAAGCCUGAUCCAGCCAUGCCGCGUGCAGGAUGAAGGCCUUCGGGUUGUAAACUGCUUUUGUACGGAACGAAACGGUCUUUUCUAAUAAAGAAGGCUAAUGACGGUACCGUAAGAAUAAGCACCGGCUAACUACGUGCCAGCAGCCCGCGGGUAAUAC
Molecule: ribosomal RNA, 469 nt
Filed under: Variovorax paradoxus
Lineage: Bacteria; Pseudomonadati; Pseudomonadota; Betaproteobacteria; Burkholderiales; Comamonadaceae
Description: bacterial SSU rRNA
Rfam family: Bacterial small subunit ribosomal RNA
Source: RNAcentral